CCUACGGGUGGCAGCAGUGGGGAAUAUUGGGCAAUGGGCGAAAGCCUGACCCAGCAACGCCGCGUGAAGGAAGAAGGCUUUCGGGUUGUAAACUUCUUUUGACAGGGAAGAGCAGAAGACGGUACCUGUCGAAUAAGCCACGGCUUACUACGUGCCAGCAGCCGCGGUAAUACGGAGGGUGCGAGCGUUAAUCGGAAUUACUGGGCGGAAAGUGCUCGGGGGGGGUAUGGUAAGUCAAGGGUGAAAUCCCCGCGCUCAACGUGGGAACUGUCUUUGAAACUGGCAAACUGGAGUGUGUGAGAGGAUAGUGGAAUUCCAGGUGUAGGAGUGAAAUCCGUAGAUAUCUGGAGGAACAUCAGUGGCGAAGGCGACUAUCUGGCACAUAACUGACGCUGAGGAGCGAAAGCGUGGGUAGCAAACAGGAUUAGAUACCCGAGUAGUC
This 442-nucleotide ribosomal RNA is filed under the name uncultured bacterium. Its description in RNAcentral is "partial 16S ribosomal RNA". It matches the Rfam family "Bacterial small subunit ribosomal RNA", at positions 338 to 795 of the family's 1533-position model. The record is from RNAcentral.